AAGGAUCAUUACCACGCGAUCCAAAACGCUCACUCAAUCAUAACUAAAAUUGUCUCACUCUGCGUGCUUCGGCGCGCGGGGCGGGCUGUAACUCACCCCCUUUUCAAACUCCCAUUGAGGACACCGAAGCAACUUCGGCAAGACCCUGGGUGCGAUGUCUGUCUGUGUGCGUGGCCUGGCUAAACGCCGGGACGCCGCGCGGGCGCAUCCCCUGGAACCAUAUCACAAUGCUUUACAACUUUUAGCAACGGAUAUCUUGGCUCUU
This 265-nucleotide unclassified non-coding RNA is filed under the name uncultured fungus. RNAcentral describes it as "partial contains 18S rRNA, ITS1, 5.8S rRNA, ITS2 and 28S rRNA". The record is from RNAcentral. Lineage: Eukaryota; Fungi.